GACGAACCGUGCGAACGUUGUUCGGAAUCACUGGGCAUAAAGGGCGCGUAGGCGGCUUUUCAAGUCAGGGGUGAAAUCCGGCAGCUCAACUGUCGAAGUGCCCUUGAUACUGAUGAGCUCGAGGGAGGUAGGGGUAUGUGGAACUUCCGGUGGAGCGGUGAAAUGCGUUGAUAUCGGAAGGAACGCCGGUGGCGAAAGCGACGUACUGGACCUCUUCUGACGCUGAGGCGCGAAAGCUAGGGGGAGCAAACGGG
Molecule: ribosomal RNA, 254 nt
Filed under: uncultured bacterium
Lineage: Bacteria
Description: partial 16S ribosomal RNA
Rfam family: Bacterial small subunit ribosomal RNA
Source: RNAcentral